AAUCAACGCUGGCGGCGUGCCUAACACAUGCAAGUCGCACGAGAAAGGGUAGCAAUACCUGAGUAAAGUGGCGCACGGGUGAGUAACACGUGACUAAUCUACCCUCGAGUGGGGAAUAACUGAGAGAAAUCUUAGCUAAUACCGCAUAACACUUACGAGUCAAAGCAGCAAUGCGCUUUGGGGGAGGAGGUCGCGGCAGAUUAGCUAGUUGGNGGGGUAAGGCCCACCAAGGCAAUGAUCUGUAUCCGGCCUGAGAGGGCGCACGGACACACUGGAACUGAAACACGGUCCAGACUCCUACGGGAGGCAGCAGUGGGGAAUUUUGCGCAAUGGGGGAAACCCUGACGCAGCAACGCCGCGUGGAGGAUGGAAAUCCC
RNAcentral lists this ribosomal RNA (377 nucleotides) under uncultured bacterium. Its description in RNAcentral is "bacterial SSU rRNA". It matches the Rfam family "Bacterial small subunit ribosomal RNA", at positions 32 to 418 of the family's 1533-position model. The record is from RNAcentral.